Molecule: ribosomal RNA, 467 nt
Filed under: uncultured bacterium
Lineage: Bacteria
Description: partial 16S ribosomal RNA
Rfam family: Bacterial small subunit ribosomal RNA
Source: RNAcentral
GACGAACGCUGGCGGCGUGCUUAACACAUGCAAGUCGAACGGAAAGGCCUCUUUCGGGGGGUACUCGAGUGGCGAACGGGUGAGUAACACGUGAGUAACCUGCCCUUGACUUUGGGAUAACUUCAGAAAACUGGGGCUAAUACCGGAUAGGAGCUCCUGCUGCAUGGUGGGGGUUGGAAAGUUUCGGCGGUUGGGGAUGGACUCGCGGCUUAUCAGCUUGUUGGUGGGGUAGUGGCUUACCAAGGCUUUGACGGGUAGCCGGCCUGAGAGGGUGACCGGCCACAUUGGGACUGAGAUACGGCCCAGACGCCUACGGGAGGCAGCAGGGGGGAAUAUUGCACAAGGGGUGGAAGCCUGAUGCAGCAACGCCGUGGGCGGGAUGACGGCCUUCGGGUUGUAAACCGCUUUCGCUCAUGACGAAGCUUUGUGUGACGGUAGUGGGUAAAGAAGCACCGGCUAACUACGUG